This is a long non-coding RNA of Zingiber officinale, 494 nucleotides long. RefSeq lists it as uncharacterized. The transcript has 2 exons. The record is from RefSeq and is a predicted model, not a curated record. Lineage: Eukaryota; Viridiplantae; Streptophyta; Magnoliopsida; Zingiberales; Zingiberaceae.
UUGAUGGGGGACUCAACCGUACGAGCGGCUCCUCAUCAGCCGUCAAUAUCCUCCGCAGCCCUCCGAUCCUCUUCUACACAAACCCCUCCUCGCGCAAGACCCUGAUUCCAAGCCAAGAAGCUAGGGUUUCCAAUCCCCCUUCUAUGGAUCGGAUACAGCCAAGAGAGGGGACUACAACCACGGCCUACUUCCCCUGGGAUAAGAUUCUCGGGGGUUCUAUGUGUGCUACAAGAGGUAAGAAUCUUCCAAAAGCUUUCAAGCAGGUUGUGGUCUUCAGCAUGGUGUUAAUUGCUUGCUGUGAAGUUCUUGUGAGGAGAAUAAACCCUUCGUUUUGAACUUUGGUCUGUUGCCCUGGUUUUAUACUGUACCACAGUCUAGGAGGUAAAACCAAACUCUGGCUUGUUGAAAUGGUUAGAAAGUAUAUAUAGUGAUAGAUAUGAUGUGUUCUUUAGAGAUAUGUGAGAUCUUUUUGCCCCAUCAUUAGUUCAGAUAUA